UGAGUACGAGAUGCUAUGGCAUUGAAGCAGUCUAUGUCAUACUUCCAAGAAAAGCUUGCACUGUCAUAAAUAAACAAUGCCUGUACCAUAACCGACACAGGUGGGUAGGUAGAGUAUACUAAGGGGCGCGAGAUAACUCUCUCUAAGGAACUCGGCAAAAUGACUCCGUAACUUCGGGAGAAGGAGUGCCUUAUUCGUAAGGUUGCAAUAACAAGAUCCAAGCAACUGUUUAUCAAAAACACAGGUCUCCGCUAAGUCGCAAGACGAUGUAUGGGGGCUGACGCCUGCCCAGUGCCAGAAGGUUAAAGAAGUCGGUUAGCAUUUGCGAAGCUGGUAACUGAAGCCCUGGUGAACGGCGGCCGUAACAAUAACGGUCCUAAGGUAGCGAAAUUCCUUGUCGGGUAAGUUCCGACCCGCACGAAAGGCGUAAUGAUUUGGAUACUGUCUCGGAGAGGGACUCGGUGAAAUAGACUUGUCUGUGAAGAUGCGGACUACCUGCACCUGGACAGAAAGACCCUAUGAAGCUUUACUGUAACUUGAGAUUGAAAUUGGACUUUAUAUGCGCAGUAUAGGUGGGAGGCUAUGAAAAUCUUUUUGCGGAAAGAUUGGAGCCAUCAGUGAGAUACCACUCUUAUAAUGUUAGAUUUCUAACUUUGUAUCAUUAUCUGGUCAAAGAACAGUCUCAGGCGGGCAGUUUGACUGGGGCGGUCGCCUCCCAAACGGUAACGGAGGCGCACAAAGGUUUCCUCUGAACGGGUAGAAAUCGUAUCUAGAGUGUAAAGGCAUAAGGAAGCUUGACUGUGAGACCUACAAGUCGAGCAGGGACGAAAGUCGGUCUUAGUGAUCUGACGGUGCUGAGUGGAAAGGCCGUCACUCAACGGAUAAAAGUUACUCUAAGGAUAACAGGCUGAUCUCCCCCAAGAGUUCACAUCGACGGGGAGGUUUGGCACCUCGAUGUCGGCUCAUCGCAUCCUGGGGCGGUAGUACGUCCCAAGGGUUGGGCUGUUCGCCCAUGAAAGCGGUACGCGAGCUGGGUUCAGAACGUCGUGAGACAGUUCGGUCCAUAUCCGGUGUAGGCGUUAGAAUAUUGAGAGGAGCCUUCUUUAGUACGAGAGGACCGAGAAGGACAUACCUCUGGUGUACCAGUUAUCGUGCCAACGGUAAACGCUGGGUAGCUAUGUGUGGAGUGGAUAACCGCUGAAAGCAUCUAAGUGGGAAGCCCACCUCAAGAUAAGUAUUCC
Molecule: ribosomal RNA, 1241 nt
Filed under: metagenome
Description: bacterial LSU rRNA
Rfam family: Bacterial large subunit ribosomal RNA
Source: RNAcentral